This 96-nucleotide unclassified non-coding RNA is filed under the name Pseudomonas lini. The record is from RNAcentral. Lineage: Bacteria; Pseudomonadati; Pseudomonadota; Gammaproteobacteria; Pseudomonadales; Pseudomonadaceae.
UACUGUAGGAGCUGCCGAAGGCUGUGAUCUUUUGAUCUUUUGGUGUCGCGACAAAGAAAGAUCAAAAGAUCGCAGCCUUCGGCAGCUCCUACCCGG